UUUAAAAAAAAAAAAAAAAAAAAAAAAAAAAAAAAAAAAAAAAAAAAAAAAAAAUCAAAAAUAUCAUUAGCGAACUCAUCACCACCAUAUUUAGAAGAUAAUACUAACAACAAUAACAUAAGUAACAUAAAUAACAUAAGCAACAUAAAUAAUAUAAGCAACAUAAAUAAUAUAAGUAACAUAAAUAAUUUUAAUGUAACCAACACAAGUGGUGGUGGUAACAGUAGUGAUGACUAUGAUAAUAACAACAGUGAUACUGGUAGUAAUGGUGGUAGAAACAACACUGGUUGCAAUAGUGAUAAUAGUUCUGUUUUAUCAUACGUAUCUUUAGAUGAAGCUGAACCCAAAAUAUUAGAUAAAAGAAAGAGUUCCCUUUUUUCUUGUUUUUCUUGUAUAUCUUCAAAUAUAAACGAAAAUUUAAAUAUGUUAAAUAAUAAUAAUAUGAACAAUAAUAGUAAUAAUAAUAUAAGUGAAAAAGGAUUGUGUAAUAUAACAACAAUAAUUAAUAAUAAUAGAUUAAAUAAUAGUAUGAAACAUAAUGGAUAUUUUAUUAAUGGUGGUAAUGGUGAUAGUGAUAAUGAUGAUAAUGAUGAAGAUAAUGACGAGGAGGACGAUGAUGAUAUUAUUUCAGAUGAUAAUGUUUUAUUACCAACUAAAGAUGAGAAAUUUCAUUUUUAUGAUUCCAAUGUAUAUUAUUGUUCUAUGUGUGGUGUUUGUGAAUUUUGUAAUUGUGGUCCUAGAACAUUAUCAUACAAAAAUAGUUGGAUUGAAAAAUUGAAUGAAAAUAAUUUUUCUUUUUUUGGAAUAGAUAAUCAAUCACAUGGUAUUUCUGAAGGAUAUUGUAAUUAUAGAUGUUAUAUACAGAAUUUUAAUGAUUUUGUUUUAGAUUCUUUACAAGCUUUAGAAUUAUUUAUAAAUGAAUGGGAAAAAGAAAAUAACGUUAAACCUAUUAUUAUUAUGGGAUUAUCUAUGGGUGGUUGUAUAGCUUUAAAAACUCUUGAAGCAAUAUUUAAAUGUAAUAAAAAAUGGAAAAAAUAUAUAAAAUCACUAGUAUUAAUAUCACCUAUGUUAAAUUUAGGAAAACAAAAAAAUAAAAUGAGUUAUAAAAUUUUAAUUCCAGCUACAAAACUAAUUCAACAUGUUUUCCCUCGUUUAACUAUUAAUGUAAAAGAAGGUAAUGCAAUAUAUCCAUGGAUAAAAGCCGACUCAGCAAUAGAUCCGUAUCAAUUUUGUGGUUCUUUAUGUAUUAAAAUAAUGUUAGAAUGUUUAUUAGCUGCUGAUAAUUGUCUUGACCUUGAAUAUUUAAAACCAGUAGAAGAAAGUAAUGUUAAUAUUAUUGUUAUUCAAUCAAAAAAUGAUUCUGUAGUUGAUCCUAUAGGUACAGUAGAAAUUUUUAAAAAACUUAUACAUUUGUAUAAGUUAAGGAUGGAUAAACAACAAGAACAACAAAAUGAAAAAAGAGAAGCGAAUAUUGUAACUGAUACAAAUAUAGGGAAUGUAAGUGAUUUUAAUGAUCAAUCACAACAAAAACAAUCGCUAACUGAUCCAAACAUUACAACUAUAACGUUGGACAAAUUAAACAAUAAUACUGUAUCUGGAUCUGUAAAUGGUGGCACUGUAAAUGGUGGCUCUGUAAAUGGUGGCACUGUAAAUGGUGGCACUGUUAAUGACACUAUUAAUAACUCAGAUAUAAAUAAAAACGUAAACAAUAUUGUGUGUAACACUAUUAAAUCGGAUGAAGUAAAUGAUAAUAUUAAUGUAUUACCUGAUGUGAAUAAACAAACAGAAAUGAAUAUAAACCUUAAUGGUCUUAACAGCAACAAUAACUUAAAUAAUUGUACACUUCAAAAAAAUACAACUAUAAUAACAACUAAUCAAAAUAAUAUAUCCAAACAGGAAACUACGGAUGUAAUACUUAAAAAUGGAAAUAAACUAGAGGAAGAACAUGAUAAAAAAAAAAAUGUAGAAAAUAACAACAAUAGUUUUAUCAAUAGCUAUAAUCCCCUUGAAGUUACUAUUUGGAAUAAAUUUGACCAUGGGUAUUAUAAAUCAAUUGACUUAAAAAAAAACAAUAUAUGUGAUGAGAAUUUAUAUUCAGAUUAUACAAAAUUCAAAAAUAUAUCUGCUUAUAUUUUAAAAUAUGGCUGUCAUACAUUACCAGGAGAACCGGACUCAAUGACUACAAUUUCUAUUUUAAUAGAUUGGUUGAACAAAACUGUUGAACAUUGUGUAAAUGAGUAACUUAUAUUGUGGAUAUGUAUACAUCACAAUAUAUUAAUUAAAAAAAGAAACGGUAAAAGCAUGUGCGAAAAAGCACAACUAUAUAUAAAUAUCACUCCAUAUUUUAUAUAUAUAUAUAUAUAUAUAUAUAUAGUUUGUUUAAACACUUUAGUUAUUUUUAAUUUUAAUUCACACAUAUUUGUUUCAUUUUUGUAAAUUUUUUUCAUCUGAGUAGGCACUUUUAGUAAAAACUUUUAAUAUUAUAUUAUAUCUCAUUACAUUUUUUUUUUUUUUUUUUAUUACCGUUUCUUAUUUUAUUUUUUUGUUUGUUAUAAUUUUAAUGAAUAUAUAUAUACACAUGGACAUAUUUUAAUUAAAACACUAAGGCACUUUGCUUUAUUACAAUAUUUAUUUUUUUUUAUUUUUUAUUUUAUUUUUUUUAUUUUCUAUUUUUUUUUUUUUUUUUAAUGUGCUUAUUAUAUUCAGUGAACAUAUAUUGUUCAUAUAUUUUGUAUAAUGUUUUUUUUAUGAUACUAUAUUGUAAAUAUAAAGAUGAAAAUUAUUAUUGUAUUUUUAACAUAAUAAUUAACAUUAUUUAUAUACGUAAGUAAUCUUACAAACCUUAAACAUUUUUCCUUUAUUUCAUCUUCUCAUUACUAUUAUCACAACUACUGUUUUCUCAUUAAUAUUAUCAUACAUACUGUUAUUAUUUUGUUUUUUUAAUGUAAUAAACCGUAGCUAGCUUUAUACA
Molecule: long non-coding RNA, 2971 nt
Organism: Piliocolobus tephrosceles (Ugandan red Colobus)
Lineage: Eukaryota; Metazoa; Chordata; Mammalia; Primates; Cercopithecidae
Source: Ensembl